CACCCAGAAGCCCCUUUUAUCAUUUCUUAUAAAACCUGUAUAACGAUACUCUACACUAGGUUGUAUACCACACAUUUCUAUUCUCCCCAAAGAAGGCAUGAACAUAUGAGAAAAAUCAAGAACAGAUGACCAAGAUACAUGAAGAAAAAUUGGUCUGAUGCAGAUACAUAGUUGGAAAAAGGCAGAGAAGAUUACGGACACCUCGGAAGAAUCCCAGCGACUCCAGGAACCCAGAUUACACUUUCACAACUGUUACUUUAAAGAUGGUGAAAUAGCCAUAUCCCAUGGUUCAAAGCAGACUGCCUACCCUGUACCUUCUACCAUCCUAUAAACUGCUUUGAGAGAGAAAUAAACUUCGAUCUUCUUUGA
Leopardus geoffroyi (Geoffroy's cat) is the source of this 369-nucleotide long non-coding RNA. RefSeq lists it as uncharacterized. NCBI's taxonomy places the organism in Eukaryota, Metazoa, Chordata, Mammalia, Carnivora, Felidae. The transcript is spliced from 2 exons. The record is from RefSeq and is a predicted model, not a curated record.